Molecule: ribosomal RNA, 497 nt
Filed under: uncultured bacterium
Lineage: Bacteria
Description: partial 16S ribosomal RNA
Rfam family: Bacterial small subunit ribosomal RNA
Source: RNAcentral
GACGAACGCUGGCGGCGUGCCUAAUACAUGCAAGUUGAGCGCUGAAGGUUGGUACUUGUACCGACUGGAUGAGCAGCGAACGGGUGAGUAACGCGUGGGGAAUCUGCCUUUGAGCGGGGGACAACAUUUGGAAACGAAUGCUAAUACCGCAUAAAAACUUUAAACACAAGUUUUAAGUUUGAAAGAUGCAAUUGCAUCACUCAAAGAUGAUCCCGCGUUGUAUUAGCUAGUUGGUGAGGUAAAGGCCCACCAAGGCGAUGAUACAUAGCCGACCUGAGAGGGUGAUCGGCCACAUUGGGACUGAGACACGGCCCAAACUCCUACGGGAGGCAGCAGUAGGGAAUCUUCGGCAGUGGACGAAAGUCUGACCGAGCAACGCCGCGUGAGUGAAGAAGGUUUUCGGAUCGUAAAACUCUGUUGGUAGAGAAGAACGUUGGUGAGAGUGGAAAGCUCAUCAAGUGACGGUAACUACCCAGAAAGGGACGGCUAACUACGUG